AGUGGCGCACGGGUGAGUAACACGUAGCUUACCUGCCCUCAAGACGGGGAUAACGCUUCGAAAGAGGUGCUAAUACCCGAUAAGCUCACGGUCUCUAGACGACUGCGAGAAAAGCUCCGACGCUUGAGGAGGGGGCUGCGGCCCAUCAGAUAGUUGGUGUGGUAACGGCGCACCAAGUCGAAGACGGGUAGGGGGCCUGAGAGGGUGACCCCCCACACUGGGACUGAGACACGGCCCAGACUCCUACGGGAGGCAGCAGUGAGGAAUAUUGGUCAAUGGGCGCAAGCCUGAACCAGCAACGCCGCGUGGGUGAUGAAGGAUUUCGGUUCGUAAAACCCUUUUCUGUGUGACGAGCAAGGACGGUAGCACAGGAAUAAGCGUCGGCUAACUACGUGCCAGCAGCCGCGGUAAAACGUAGGACGCAAGCGUUAUCCGGAAUUACUGGGCGUAAAGCGCGUGUAGGCGGGUCUGUAAGUCUGUCGUGAAAGCUCCCGGCUAAACUGGGAGAGGUCGAUGGAAACUACAGGUCUGGAGUUUGGCAGAGGAAUGUGGAAUUCCGCGUGUAGUGGUGAAAUGCGUAGAGAUGCGGAGGAACACCAGUGGCGAAGGCGGCAUUCUGGGCCACAACUGACGCUGAGACGCGAAAGCAUGGGUAGCGAACGGGAUUAGAAACCCCGGUAGUCCACGC
Molecule: ribosomal RNA, 688 nt
Filed under: uncultured Chloroflexota bacterium
Lineage: Bacteria; Bacillati; Chloroflexota
Description: bacterial SSU rRNA
Rfam family: Bacterial small subunit ribosomal RNA
Source: RNAcentral